This 794-nucleotide long non-coding RNA is filed under the name Marmota monax (woodchuck). The record is from RNAcentral. Lineage: Eukaryota; Metazoa; Chordata; Mammalia; Rodentia; Sciuridae.
UCUAAUUCCUAGGUCUUGAUCUAAUUGAGUUGACUUUUGUGCAAGGUGAAGGAUAGAGAUCUAAUUUCAUUUUCUACUUGUAGAUAUCGAGUUUUCCUAGUACCAUCAGUGAAAAAGGCUAUUAUUUUUACCCAAAUAGUUUUGGCAUCUUGUUGAGUAUUGGAUAACUGUAUCUAUGUCUCAUUUUCUCUGUGUUGUCUAUUCUAUUCCAUUGGUCUUCAUAUCUAUUUUGAUGACAGUACCAUGCUAUUUUUGUUACUGUAGCUCUGUAAUAAAAUUUGAGUUCAUGUAUUAUGAUGUCUCCAGCAUCACUUCUCUUGUUCAGUAUUUCUUUCUGUACUUUAUGUCUUUUGUUAUUACAGAUGAAUUUUAGGAUUGUUUAUUCUAGUUCUUGAGGAAUAUCAUUGAUAUUUUAAUUGGAAUUGCAUUGAAUCUGUAUAAAGCUUUUGGUAGUAGAGCCAUUUUGACAAUUUUCAUUCUUCUUAUUCAAGAAAUGGGAGGUUUUUCCAUCUUCAAAGGUCUUCUUCAAUUUGUUUUUUCAUUGUUCUGUAGUUUUGAUUGCAAAGAUCUUUUACCUCCUUCGUUAAUUUUUCUCCUAAGUACUUUAUUUUUUGAAGUUAUUAUGAAUGAAAUAGUUUUUCUGAUUUCUUUCUUAGUAGCAUCUUGUAUGCUGGAUUUAUCAGCUUUAUAAGUCUCGCCCAGAUUUGGGGUCUUUCUGAUAUAAGAUCAUGUCAUCUGCAGGGAUAAUUUAACAACUUCUUUUCCUGUUUGUUUCCCUUUAAUUUACUUCUUUU